This 405-nucleotide ribosomal RNA is filed under the name uncultured prokaryote. RNAcentral's name for it is "bacterial SSU rRNA". It matches the Rfam family "Bacterial small subunit ribosomal RNA", at positions 355 to 776 of the family's 1533-position model. RNAcentral also lists the same sequence under 1 other name. The record is from RNAcentral.
UGGGGAAUUUUGCGCAAUGGGGGCAACCCUGACGCAGCAACGCCGCGUGCGGGAAGAAGGCCUUCGGGUUGUAAACCGCUUUCAGCGGGGACGAUAAUGACGGUACCCGCAGAAGAAGCUCCGGCUAACUACGUGCCAGCAGCCGCGGUAAUACGUAGGGAGCGAGCGUUAUCCGGAUUCAUUGGGCGUAAAGCGCGCGUAGGCGGCUCGGGAAGCGGAACCUCUAACCUUGGGGCUCAACCUCAAGCCGGGUUCCGAACUCCCGGGCUCGAGUCAGGUAGGGGCAGGCGGAAUUCCCGGUGUAGCGGUGAAAUGCGCAGAUAUCGGGAGGAACACCGAUGGCGAAGGCAGCCUGCUGGGCCUAAAGACUGACGCUGAGGUGCGAAAGCGUGGGGAGCGAACAGG